This 70-nucleotide transfer RNA is filed under the name Maiestas dorsalis. RNAcentral's name for it is "tRNA-Asp". The record is from RNAcentral. Lineage: Eukaryota; Metazoa; Arthropoda; Insecta; Hemiptera; Cicadellidae.
AAGAAACUAGUUUAAUAGAAAAUUUAAACUUGUCAAGUUUAAGAUACCAAUAAAAGAAAGGUUUUUCUUU